CAGAGGGUGCGAGCGUUAAUCGGAAUUACUGGGCGUAAAGCGUGCGUAGACGGUUAUUUAAGUCGGGUGUGAAAGCCCCGGGCUCAACCUGGGAAUUGCAUUCGAGACUGAAUAGCUAGGGUACGGUAGAGGGAAGUGGAAUUUCCGGUGUAGCGGUGAAAUGCGUAGAUAUCGGAAGGAACAUCAGUGGCGAAAGCGACUUCCUGGACCAGUACCGACGUUCAGGCACGAAAGCGUGGGGAGCAAACAGGAUUAGAUACCCUGGUAGUCCACGCCAUAAACGAUGAGGACUAGACGUUGGAGGGGUAAGCCUUUCAGUGUCGUAGCUAACGCGCUAAGUCCUCCGCCUGGGGAGUACGGCCGCAAGGUUG
This 371-nucleotide ribosomal RNA is filed under the name uncultured organism. RNAcentral describes it as "bacterial SSU rRNA". It matches the Rfam family "Bacterial small subunit ribosomal RNA", at positions 526 to 896 of the family's 1533-position model. The record is from RNAcentral.